This is a long non-coding RNA of Daphnia pulicaria, 1236 nucleotides long. RefSeq lists it as uncharacterized. The record is from RefSeq and is a predicted model, not a curated record. NCBI's taxonomy places the organism in Eukaryota, Metazoa, Arthropoda, Branchiopoda, Diplostraca, Daphniidae. The transcript has 4 exons.
GAUGCUGAUUAGAAGAAAAUUGGACAAGUGUCGUCUGCUCUCGAUUAGUUAAAAAAUUUCGAAAAAGUCAGAGACAAAGUUAAAGAUUUGUUAUAGAUUUAUUUGUUCAUGAUAACCGACAUACUCCAUGCUGUUUAGCGGAUUUGAGGCCAGAGACCCAUCAUAACUACACAAUCUGCAAGUUUUUCUUGUGCAGGUGUUAACCUGUUGUCAGCAACAAUCUCAUGAUCAUCGCUUGGGUACAAAUCAUCCCAUCCCAUUGCAAUGCAAUCGAAGGCAUUGUCAAUCGAGUUACGGAUCUCUCUUUUUCCCCUUUCUUUAAAUGUCGUUCGUGUACGCCCAUGUGAAUGUGGGUGUAUUCACGAGGGACACCCUUUUUACCCUAUCCCGUCUGCUGUCAUUUAACUCUUCAUCGGAUGGAUGGAGCAACUGUACAGAUGCCUGUGGCUGUAUUUCCCUGGCCUAAAGACGCACGUGUUUACAUCUUCAUUUGUUUGCCCUUAUAAUUCCGGCUGAAAUGAGAUGAUCGUAUUAUGGAAUCAACCUCCUGUCAAAGUUUUACAAAACACAAUAUUUGAAGGAAAUGCAUUGAAGAAUGGUGGGCCUAUAGGGAAGAGGGAGGAUGAACAACGGAGGGAAGAGAGAGGAGCUCCGUCUGCCAAGUAACCUGAUAUUUCCGGAAGGGAAACUAUACACUGAGGAUAUAUUUUUUUUUCUCUUCUCUGCUUUCGGCGUCUUUUAAGAGUGAAGCAAGAAGGGGAAAAAAAUCAUUCAUUUACAAGAAGCAUUAUUAGGUGAAGAAAGCAAAGCAUUUUUUUUAACGUUUAAGCGCUAUGAGAUUUCGCAGAGGUUAACGCAUUAAUUGGAAAGGUAGUGCCAAUGCCAAAAAGCUAUGUAAUGGUUAAAGUAAUAUGCUAAUGGUAAUGACAUCAAACACACAUUACAGAGUUUGUAAUAACAAAUAUUGUGACAUUAAGAACACUAGAACACUGUAUUAAAAAAGCAUCUUUAAGUUUGAAAUAAAUUACAAUGCAAGAUUUAAUGAUGAUUUAAAUUUUGUGUAAUCCCACAAUUAGAUGGCUCAUUCAGUCAUAGUUUUGUAAUGCCCUGUUUGUCACUGAGAGUAGCUCGACGACUUCGCUAUCUAUCUAGAUCUAGAGUUGCUGUUUUUUAACGUUAUAACUAAUGUGUCCGUUAACGUUAACGGUAUAGUAAAAAUGCUCCACCCUAGAUGGC